UACGUAGGUGGCGAGCGUUGUCCGGAUUUACUGGGCGUAAAGAGCGCGCAGGCGGUCGUUCAAGUCGCGUGUGAAAGCCCCCGGCUCAACUGGGGAGGGUCACGCGAUACUGAUCGACUCGAAGGCAGGAGAGGGAAGUGGAAUUCCCGGUGUAGUGGUGAAAUGCGUAGAUAUCGGGAGGAACACCAAUGGCGAAGGCAGCUCGCUGGGACGUAACUGACGCUGAGACGCGAAAGCGUGGGGAGCAAACAGG
This 253-nucleotide ribosomal RNA is filed under the name uncultured bacterium. RNAcentral's name for it is "partial 16S ribosomal RNA". It matches the Rfam family "Bacterial small subunit ribosomal RNA", at positions 524 to 776 of the family's 1533-position model. The record is from RNAcentral.